UACGUAGGUGGCAAGCGUUGUCCGGAAUUAUUGGGCGUAAAGCGCGCGCAGGCGGUCCUUUAAGUCUGAUGUGAAAGCCCACGGCUCAACCGUGGAGGGUCAUUGGAAACUGGGGGACUUGAGUGCAGGAGAGAAGAGUGGAAUUCCACGUGUAGCGGUGAAAUGCGUAGAGAUGUGGAGGAACACCAGUGGCGAAGGCGACUCUUUGGCCUGUAACUGACGCUGAGAGACGAAAGCUAGGGGAGCGAAUGGG
Molecule: ribosomal RNA, 253 nt
Filed under: uncultured bacterium
Lineage: Bacteria
Description: partial 16S ribosomal RNA
Rfam family: Bacterial small subunit ribosomal RNA
Source: RNAcentral